GACGAACGCUGGCGGCGUGCUUAACACAUGCGAGUCGAACGGAAAGGCCCCUUUGGGGGUACUCGAGUGGCGAACGGGUGAGUAACACGUGAGUAACCUGCCCUUGACUUCGGGAUAACUUCAGGAAACUGGGGCUAAUACCGGAUAGGAAUCCUUGCUGCAUGGUGGGGGUUGGAAAGCUUCGGCGGUUUUGGAUGGACUCGGCUUAUCAGCUUGUUGGUGGGGUAGUGGCUUACCAAGGCUUUGACGGGUAGCCGGCCUGAGAGGGCGACCGGCCACAUUGGGACUGAGAUACGGCCCAGACUCCUACGGGAGGCAGCAGUGGGGAAUAUUGCACAAUGGGCGGAAGCCUGAUGCAGCAACGCCGCGUGCGGGAUGACGGCCUUCGGGUUGUAAACCGCUUUCAGCAGGGGCGAAGCUUGUGGUGACGGUACCUGCAGAAGAAGCACCGGCUAACUACGUG
RNAcentral lists this ribosomal RNA (463 nucleotides) under uncultured bacterium. RNAcentral describes it as "partial 16S ribosomal RNA". It matches the Rfam family "Bacterial small subunit ribosomal RNA", at positions 28 to 507 of the family's 1533-position model. The record is from RNAcentral.